UAACGCGAAGAACCUUACCAGGUCUUGACAUCUUCUGCUAACCUAAGAGAUUAGGCGUUCCCUUCGGGGACGGAAUGACAGGUGGUGCAUGGUUGUCGUCAGUUCGUGUCGUGAGAUGUUGGGUUAAGUCUCGCAACGAGCGCAACCCUCGUGUUUAGUUGCCACUAUAAGUUUGGAACCCUGAACAGACCGCCGGUGUUAAGCCGGAGGAAGGAGAGGAUGAGGCCAAGUCAUCAUGCCCCUUAUGCCCUGGGCGACACACGUGCUACAAUGGGCGGUACAACGAGUCGCGAAACCGCGAGGUCAAGCUAAUCUCUUAAAGCCGUUCUCAGUUCGGAUUGUAGGCUGCAACUCGCCUACAUGAAGUUGGAAUCGCUAGUAAUCGUGGAUCAGC
This 394-nucleotide ribosomal RNA is filed under the name uncultured bacterium. RNAcentral describes it as "bacterial SSU rRNA". It matches the Rfam family "Bacterial small subunit ribosomal RNA", at positions 957 to 1353 of the family's 1533-position model. The record is from RNAcentral.